UGUCUGCACCUCAAGUCAGUCUGGAUGGAGUAUUUGGGAUGCUUCUGUAAUCAGGAGGGGGAAGGGAGGAGAGGAGACGAGAGAGCAGAGCAGAGGAGAGCCAGGUCAUGUGUAUCAACCACAACGUCCUCUACAACCUCUUCACUCUGACCCCAAACACCCUGAUUCCUGACCACAAUGUCUCUGAGCACACUGUGUUUGACCGUAUAAUUUGUGAACACACACACACACACAUACACACACAUCCCUGCUCUGACCCAGGAGAAGCCAUUCCAUUAGUGAUAAACACACUCUGUUACCUGGCAACAACAUGGAUGGCCUAUUUUGAACGCUUCAAGAUCUACAUGUCUGAAUCUGUCUGCUGCUCCCACAAAUAUAUUCUCCUUUUUCCUGGAUGAGAGGUGUGUGUGUGUGUGUGUGUGUCUCUAAAUGGCUACAAUGGCUUUGGUAUAGAAAGAUUGCAGGUUCGAGUCCCACUUUGACCGUCCCCCAAAUUCACCAUGUGUUGGUUAGGAAAAAUAGCUUGAGCACUCCUCUUCAGAAGCCUUACCUAAAGUAAGGAUCAGGGGAAUUGGAGAAGGAAUGAUACAUUUAGUCAAACCUCCAAUGAAUUAAAGACUAUUCUGUUCAUUUUGUAUUUGUGAUGUUCACUCGGUAACCAUUAAAGAAUCAUCAUGUUUCUCCUCCUAAUCGGCCCGAGCAGUGAAAUGCGAUAUUAAAGCUGUUUGUUUGUGUGUGUGUGUGUGUGUGUGUGUGUGUGUGUGCUCCAGAGAGUCGCUGUGUUCUUCAAGGAAGUGCUUUUGUGUGAUGAAAUAACUUAACAGGCUUCCAGACAACAUCUUUCUUUAUUCAUGUCUAUUCUUUCACUCUAUACAUGGCCACAAUCAGUGCUCCUGUAUAUAGAAAUUCUAUUGCAUUACAGUGGGCUAAAGACUUACAGUUACUACUGCGGUGGGCUAAAUCAGGGUCACAGAGUGUUUCUUGGUAGUCUUAAACAAAUCUACUUUGAAACAAAUGUAUACACCUCACACACAUGGUUAUGUGCUUUAAAAAAGAGGACACCUGUACCAUGUCAGAUAUAGAGUUGAAAUGUAUUCCAUUUUGAGUUUGCAUCCAAAUAUUACACUUAACAUAUAUCACAGAAGACCGAAAUAUAAGAAAACCGGUUGACAUGGAAACCCCGGGGCGCAGUGGUCUAAGGCAGUGCCACUAGAGAUUCUGGGUUCGAGUCCAGGCUCUGUCGCAUGCCGGCCACGACCGGGAGACCCAUGGGCCGGUGCACAAUUGGCUCAGCGACAUCCUGGUUACGGGAGGGUUUGGAUGUCCUUGUCCCAUCGCGCACCAGCGACUCCUGUGGCGGGCUGGGCGCAGUGCACGCCGGCAUGGUCGCCAGGUGUACGGUGUUUCCUCUGACACAUUGGUGCGGCUGGCUUCUGGGUUUAGUGGGCAUUGUGUCUUGAAGCAGCGCGGGCUUGGCCGGGUUGUGUUUCAGAGGACAGAGGCUCUUGGCCUUCGCCUUUCCUGAGUCCGUACGGGACUUGCAGUGAAAUUGGGGUAAAAAAAAAAAAAAAGUUUAUUAAUUGAAUCCUACAGACGAAGAACCAUAUAUGUGACAUAAAAAAAAAGAGAUAUACAUGAAAAAUAAUUAUUGGACACCAUUUUUCUAUAGUGAACCGGUUUCACAAGCUUUCCACGCGCUAAUUAACAAUAAUUUUACAUUUAAAGAUAGGCUCUCGUGGAAUAACCGUUUAUGUGCACCACUCAGAAUGGACGGACAAGCGCACAACCUUUCUGUUGCUGAUGAAAAUCGCAGAAAUGUGGGAAAGAAACGUAAAACAAAACUAAAAGAAUGGAAAGACAGGCAAAGGAAGAUCUUACGGGAUGCGGGAAAACCCUAUACAAAUCGUAAGGGUCAAGAAAAAACUGGGAAAAGCUGUCCAAAAGAGGUAUGUGGAAGAACCGUAUAUCAAACAAUCAAGCUAGCUAGCUAUAGAGUACAGUAACUAACAUGUAUGUUCUGGGUUGUCUAAUUUGUAACUAUAGAGAAAACAUAUUAGCUAGUUCGUUGGCUACUAACUCAUACAUUAUCGUUACAAAUGUUAUUGCUAGAUUAUAGAAGAAACAUAGCUAGCUACUUUUUCUCCGUCCACCGGAUGAUUCGACAUGGCUACAGUAGCUAGCUAGUUGCACUGUAUCCUGCCGGGAAGAGCGUGUUCCACGACGUGCAGAAAGGAUUGUGGAAAGUUGACUGAUGAACGCAAGCUGCAUCUGUUCAACAGUUUCUACACUGUCCCAUACGAGAAACAACAAGCGUUGAUUCUCUCCGGCUUAGAACAGGUUAGAAAUAAGACAAAACGCCUAUUAUUAUAAUAGCUAUAUUGAACACUUGCAUAGUUUAACUUUGACAGUAAUGAUACGUACAUUAACGUUAACUCUAAAAGUGCUGUGUUACACAAUGGUGCAAUACAAACUCAUUCUGUGUAUAGAUUGGGAGUGUGUGAAAGAUGGAGGUCCUGAUCAAGCAAUAUCCUGAAUGUGCUACAGUAUAUUAAAUUCUGAAUUCAUCAUUGUCAAUUUUUAUUGCAGCAUGAGGUGAAACGGAGACAUAAACCUGAGGAUACAAAGGAGAACAAACGACGGAAACAAACCUUCAAAUACCAUGUACAGCAAGCAGGCCAGAGAUUGAAUGUGUGCAAGGUUACUUUCAUGUCUGUGUUCCAGCUAACCAACAGCUGUCUUCAGGCAAGUGAAAAUAUGAAUUAAUGUCUAUAUGAAUAUCAAUUACAAACAUAUUGUAUUCUCUGUACUAGUUUUUAAUAACCUGCUAAUUGAAAUGUAAUUGUUUUGGUCAGGUUAUUCAGGAAAAGUUAGCUGAGGCAGGUGAGGUUGCAGGGUCUCCAGAUCAGGCUACUGAGGCUAGGUCUCCUUUAGAAGAUGGAAGAGGGAAGCAUAGCAAUAGGUAAUGCGCUAUGGAUUCCAGCCUGGAUUAUUUCACUAUAGCAGUGCUCUAAACAAUCUUCUAAACAUUAACAUAGAGUAUCGAAUGGAUGAAUAGCGAAUUCUGAAACAAAAAUAUAAAAAUGUUUAUUACUUUUAAACAAAAUGAUGGUAACUAAGCUGUCCAACUACCACCUGAGCAUUGAGGACAUAGUGCUGAUUACCUUCCCCCUCCCACCGGACAGCACUGGCCUAAUUCUCGCCGCCCUACAGGACCCCCCGGCCACAAACGGCAAUGGCGUGACCGGGAUUUAUACCCCGGUUAUCGCGACACAGUUGCACUCUAUGGCAGGUCCCUAGACCAUUGAGAGAAUGCAAGUUUAACAACACCUUGUUGUGUCCUUACAGGCCACAUCGGAUACAUGCUACAGUGAAAGAGGGCAUCAAGGAGCCUGCCAUUUCCCAAGAACCCAGAACCACUACUCUCGGAUGAAGGGGGAUGUACACAGAGAAUACCUCAGCCCUGAUCUGAAUUUGUUGCGAAUGUACCGACUCUACAAAGAGAAGAAUACCACAUCACCUGCAAAAUUCUGGGUUUAUAGGGACAUUUUCAAACUGCAGAGUCUCAAUUUUGGCCAACCCAGGAGUGACACCUGUGGCAAAUGUGACGCAUUCUUCACUAAGAUGUCAGUAGCAACAUCUGAAGAGGAGAAGAGGAAGAUUGCAGUUGAAAGUGAGUUGCACCAUCGAAAAGCCGAAAAGGCCUACACACAGCUUCAAAGUGACACUGAGUGGGCUAAAGCCAAUGCUGACUGCCAUGUCAUUUCUGUGGAUCUACAGGGGGUGAUGUACACCCCUAAUCUGACCCACUCCAAUGUCUACUACCAGCGGCAGCUGUCAAAUUUUAACUUUUGCAUCCAGGAACUUGGAAAAGAAGAUCCUGCAUACAUGUGUGUUUGGCAUGAGGGGAUUGCACACCGAGGGUCCAUUGAGGUGGCAAGCUGCAUAAUGAAGUGGGUGAAGACAAAAUUCACGCCACUCACCAAACCAGAGGUGCGCAAGUUGAUUAUAUUCAGUGACAGAUGCUGUGGGCAGAAUAACAACUGGCGGAUGCUCAAUCUGAUGUCGAUGCUCGUCUCUAUGGGUUACUUUACCCAAGUUCAUGGUCUCUGGUCAUUCUUUUCUUCCUUGUGAUCAAUCUUUUGCCACCAUCGAGAAGAGGCGCAAGGUGUCAGUCCUUCAUACACCUGAUGAUGUUUCAAAGAUGAUACUUGAAGCACAACCAGCAAAACCAUUCAAGGUGAUGAGGAUGCAAUGUGAAGACUUCAGGCACCUCCCAGAUUCUGUCCUCAAGCGACCAGCUGGACUACAGAUCACCUCAGUGAGGUGGUUAAAAGUCACAGUUGAGGAUCCUUGGAAUCUGUACGCCAGACAGAGCCACAGUCUAUUUGAGGGAUGGAAAUCGUGGCUGAUCUCCAAACCAAAACAAGGAGCUACACCUCAACCUCCCUAUUUUGCAAGCCACUACCCUAGAGCAUAUGAGAGUCCUCUGCCCAU
This is a long non-coding RNA of Oncorhynchus kisutch (coho salmon), 4494 nucleotides long. RefSeq lists it as uncharacterized. The record is from RefSeq and is a predicted model, not a curated record. Lineage: Eukaryota; Metazoa; Chordata; Actinopteri; Salmoniformes; Salmonidae. The transcript is spliced from 2 exons.